UCUCUAAGAAGUUAUGGAUUACACCUUUGUCAAAAGGAUUGACCCGCCGAUCAUAUCGAUAUCUAAAGUUCUCAUAUGUAGACUGGUUUGUGCCAAUGAGGUACAGAUGGAAGACAGACAAGCCACCAACAAACCAGACUGAUAUGAAUGUAUAACCAAUCAACACAAUGGAGGCAGGAGUCUUGGCCAUUGCUUUCCAGAUGUUGGUCUGCGCACCAUCCAUGAUCCUUUUAAUGUAGAUCCAGCAGAAGCCAUGGACGUACAAGCAAAGAAGGGUAGUCGAGAAUACAAACAUGAAGAAGAAGCGGUAAUUCCUCAAUCCAAUACAUUGCCCGACCCAGGGACAGUGAUGGUCAAA
RNAcentral lists this unclassified non-coding RNA (358 nucleotides) under Hevea brasiliensis (rubber tree). Lineage: Eukaryota; Viridiplantae; Streptophyta; Magnoliopsida; Malpighiales; Euphorbiaceae. The record is from RNAcentral.